Molecule: non-coding RNA, 53 nt
Filed under: Alexandrium minutum
Lineage: Eukaryota; Dinophyceae; Gonyaulacales; Pyrocystaceae
Source: RNAcentral
UUUUUUUUUUUUUUUUUUUUUUUUUUUUUUUUUUUUUUUUUCCUCACAGCUGC